This is a long non-coding RNA of Aegilops tauschii subsp. strangulata, 2182 nucleotides long. RefSeq lists it as uncharacterized. The record is from RefSeq and is a predicted model, not a curated record. Lineage: Eukaryota; Viridiplantae; Streptophyta; Magnoliopsida; Poales; Poaceae.
GGUUUGAUGAGAGAUUUCCGUGGCGCCACCCAAAGUCCCCUCUUUCCUCUCCCCAAUCUCUGUAGCCGCCACACCGGUCCUCCUCCAUCCUCUCUCCCUCCCUCCCUCGUCAGCCACGAGACCCACCGCCUCCUUCCUCUCCGCCGUGACGUUUCGUUCUCUUGUCCUCCGGAGCUCCUCUCAUGUCGUCAUGCUCGCGCAAAGCACCGCGUCCACCCAACCAUCUUUGCUGCGCAAGGCGGCCGGAGGACGAACAACGGCGGUCCGAGCUCCGCUGCCUCCAUCCAUGUCUCAUCCUCCUCUUGCGCGCCGGCCGACCGGAGGCUGCCUCCUGGUGGGUGGUAGGUGCGAGCGAUGACGCUGGAGGCCAGAUCUGGAAGCUUAGCUAAUGCAGCACCGUGACAACUUCGAUGCGAGCACUAGGUGUUUGUUUAAAUGCUCAAGGAGGACUGUUCAGGGGAGGACGACAGCUUUCAGGUAACAUGUCAAGCGAGGGUGUAAUAGAGAAUAUGAAGCAGGAGCUGGUCAUGCUGCUGCUCAAGGAGGAAGAGGAGGUGAAGGCGACACAGAGGAGCUUGCCAUAGCUGCUCGCCAGCUCCGGGAAUUCCUCCUUCCAGAAGCACAACGCCAUGUCCUAGAUAUGGCUUGGUGGACCGAGGCCCUGCUGUGGAAAAAGAUCCUGAUAUGUUCGACCAUGCCGCCUUUAUGACCUAUUAAUGUGUUUUGAGCAUGUGACAAUUGUUUUCUCAAAUUUACGUGGUCUAUCUUAGAUUAGUAGUAAUCCUUCUCUAUGUUUCUGUAAUUUCAGUUCCUUAUGUUUGCCUUUAGAAAUUUCCUUUGCAUAUCCUGUUUUCUGCACAUCCCUCUUGUGGCCUGUUGUAAUGGUCUAAUGAACAGCCAUAUCAUGAUAUGAUUGCAUCGUUGCAUGAUAGUGUACCAUAUGCUCAUGCAUUUGUUUUCUUACCGAUGUUGUCCUAAUGAGUUGGCUGGCUUACAUGUAGUCUGCUGUAAAGGUCUACUUGUUUCAGGUAGCAUUGCUUUCUGGAAUACAUUAUUGGAACUUGGUAACCUUCCCUGGUUAUAGUCAGCAAGACAAGAAGAACAUACUUGUGUAUGAGUUCAUGCACAACGAAAGGAGCACCUUAGCUGAUGUUAAAUUUUCUCUUUGGAAUCAACAACACACUGUUGUAUAUACACGUGUGAUUCUUUCGCAGUAAAACUUUGCCUGUGCAGUUGUAUUUUGCUGAUUCAGGUUGUCUUAGCCUGCAACACUACGUCUAGGUUACGAAUGAAAACUUGGAAUUACCUAAUAGGUGCAUACAUGAACUAUUGAUGGUGUGAAUAGAAACAACGGCAUUGGCGCAGACGCUUGGUGACCUUCACGUUGUUCCUCCAAGGCAGGCCAUGAGUGAUGGCAGCCGUGAGGUCAGCGUUGCUAGGAAAUAGGGAAAGGCUGCUGCCAAUUAUGCAAGAUACACACAUAGUUUGUGUUUGCUGUUUACAUGUCAGUUUUUUACCAUUUGAACUGUCUUUUAUAGACAGUAUAGUUCACAAAAAAGAAACUUUUGAUAAAGCAUAUAUGGGUUUGCAGUAGACCAUUCUAGACCAUAUUUCUUGAAUACAUAGUUUAUAGUAUUUUCUGGUUUUAAAUAUAUGAGAUUGCCCAUCUUAGUUAGUGGCACUGCUAUGCUUCACAGUAUACAAUGCUUGCAUGCCAAUAUAAUCAUAAGUGUUUUUUCGUUUUCAGGUGUUCUUAAUAUGGUGGGUGAUUGAAGCGAAAGCAUGAGGAGCAGUUCAAAGGGCGGAUGGAGCAUGUGACUUAUGUGGAAAUAACAAAUUUUCUUUUAGAUGAUUUGAGUGUAUGCUGAUGCGUGAAAGUCAAAUCAUUUGGAUUCCCAACUAGCCUAUUGUGUGUGUUCAAUAUUUUGUUGCGCAUUGACAAAAUGUUUUCAGUGCCCGAGUGCGCAAGUUGAAUUUUGAAACAUAUGAGAGGAUAACCCUGCAAAAGGGAAUUUGCCCUUUAUGAAGGUUCGGGCUUGCUGUUGUAAUUAAAAGUAGGAGAUUUAUAUAUACCUAUAAUAGAAUAAUUCCUCAAGCUAAAGGCUUCUGUAACAUGUAACAUAUGAACUUUGUUUGUGCUAAUAAUUUUCCAGCCAUAGUAAAAGGCUAUGUUGCACAGGUA